This 468-nucleotide ribosomal RNA is filed under the name uncultured bacterium. RNAcentral describes it as "partial 16S ribosomal RNA". It matches the Rfam family "Bacterial small subunit ribosomal RNA", at positions 28 to 507 of the family's 1533-position model. The record is from RNAcentral.
GACGAACGCUGGCGGCGUGCUUAACACAUGCAAGUCGAACGGAAAGGCCCUGCUUUUGUGGGGUGCUCGAGUGGCGAACGGGUGAGUAACACGUGAGUAACCUGCCCUUGACUUUGGGAUAACUUCAGGAAACUGGGGCUAAUACCGGAUAGGAGCUCCUGCUGCAUGGUGGGGGUUGGAAAGUUUCGGCGGUUGGGGAUGGACUCGCGGCUUAUCAGCUUGUUGGUGGGGUAGUGGCUUACCAAGGCUUUGACGGGUAGCCGGCCUGAGAGGGUGACCGGCCACAUUGGGACGGGGAUACGGCCCAGACUCCUACGGGAGGCAGCAGUGGAGUAUGUUGCACAAUGGGCGGAAGCCUGAUGCAGCAACGCCGCGUGCGGGACGACGGCCUUCGGGUUGUAAACCGCUUUCGCCUGUGACGAAGCGUGAGUGACGGUAAUGGGUAAAGAAGCACCGGCUAACUACGUG